Molecule: long non-coding RNA, 852 nt
Organism: Olea europaea var. sylvestris
Lineage: Eukaryota; Viridiplantae; Streptophyta; Magnoliopsida; Lamiales; Oleaceae
Exons: 3
Source: RefSeq, a predicted model, not a curated record
GAUACCAAAUGAAGGCGAGUUUCUCCAACUAAAAUUCCUGCUAAUUUGGGAGACAGAUUUGGAGCACUGGAGAGCUAACAAGACCCAUUUUCCACGUCUGGAGCACCUAAUCCUCAGGCAGUGCUCGAAUUUGGUAGAGAUCCCAUCUAAUAUUGGUGAAAUACCGACACUUGAAACAAUUGAGAUAGAUCACUCUAGUCCUUCCACUGUGAAUUCAGUGAAGAAAAUACUGGAAGACCAACGAAGCUUGGGAAACGAUGGCCUCAAAGUUUUCGUCCAUCCAACAAAAACAAAAGUCUAUCCACUAAAAUUUGGGAUCCGGCAACAUGAAUCAGGAGGCUAUUAUAAACCCGAAACCAAAAUUGAUCGAUUGAAGGCCAAUGCGAACUCUAGAAGUGAUGGUGGUAGCAGCUCCAAUAUUAAUGAAUUAAAGCUCACGGAUUACUUGGACCAAAACUCUCUUUCUCCAGGACCAUAAAUGCCUUUUUGAGUUUCGUCACUUGUACAAUUGCACUUUGUUUGUAAUUAUUGAGAUUGCAUUUUACUUUUAAAGGGUUUUUAGUUUUGGAUUGUACUAUGUUAUCCUGAUUGUUCCGUGAAUAAUGUUACUUUGCCAGAAGCCUAGGUGGCGAAAAGUGAUUUGAUGGAAAAGAUGACUGUUUUUCAAACAGUCCAAUGAUAGAGUGCCAUAUGACACUAUAUCAACCAUUAUUUCAAGUAUUCUGGCAUUGUAGCAUGAUUGUUGAUUUGUACGACAUUAUUGAUUUCACUCUUCUUCACAGCAUUUUACCUUUGUUAAACAAUUGAUUCAGCAUUUGAUGUGUUGUGCUAAAGUUCCAAGUUUUGUGAUUU